This 650-nucleotide ribosomal RNA is filed under the name uncultured bacterium. RNAcentral describes it as "bacterial SSU rRNA". It matches the Rfam family "Bacterial small subunit ribosomal RNA", at positions 75 to 759 of the family's 1533-position model. The record is from RNAcentral.
UUGACCAGUUAACUUUAGUGGCGGACGGGUGAGUAACACGUGAGAAUUUACCUUUAGGAGGGGAAUAACAGUUGGAGACGACUGCUAAUGCCGCACAUCAUAACUAUGAAAGAAGAAAUUCGCCUAAAGAAAAGCUUGCGUCUGAUUAGCUAGUUGGUAAGGGUAAAGGCCUACCAAGGCGACGAUCAGUAGCUGGUUUGAGAGGACGACCAGUCACACUGGAACUGAGACACGGUCCAGACUCCUACGGGAGGCAGCAGUGGGGAAUUUUCUGCAAUGGGCGAAAGCCUGACAGAGCAAUACCGCGUGAGGGAAGAAAGCCCACAGGGUUGUAAACCUCUUUUGUCAAGGCAGAAGUUCUGACGUUACUUGACGAAUAAGCAUCGGCUAACUCCGUGCCAGCAGCCGCGGUAAGACGGGGGAUGCAAGUGUUAUCCGGAAUCACUGGGCGUAAAGCGUUUGUAGGUGGUUUAGUAAGUCUAUUAUUAAAGCUUGAAGCUUAACUUCAAAAGUGUAAUAGAAACUACUAGACUUGAGGAUAGUAGGGGUAAAGGGAAUUUCCAGUGGAGCGGUGAAAUGCGUAGAGAUUGGAAGGACCACCGAUGGCGAAGGCACUUUACUGGGCUAUUUCUGACACUAAGAGACGAAAG